Non-coding RNA from Pelobates cultripes (western spadefoot toad), 1032 nucleotides. Lineage: Eukaryota; Metazoa; Chordata; Amphibia; Anura; Pelobatidae. The record is from the annotation of a GenBank genome assembly.
UUUCCAGGUUGAGGGAAAACUCAGGGAUGUUUAAUCAGGGGGCAGGGAGCCCCUUUUAAAGACAGAAAUCAGUCAUAUGCAGAAAGCAAGAUUUCAGAGAAAAUACAUCUUUAACCCCUUAAGGACGGCGGGCGAAACAGUAAUAUUUGUGUUCAGCGAAGUCUCCCGAGUAUAACAGUACCCCUCAUGAACAGGUUUUAUAGUGUUUUCAAGGGCAGAGAGUCAAAUAUAAGGGUUGAGUUUCAGGUUUUUCACAUUGAAAUUCGCCAGGUUGGUUACGUUGCCUCUGAGACCGUACGGUAGCCCAGGAAUAAGACUUACCCCCAUAAUGGCAUACCAUUUGCAAAAGUAGACAACCCAAGGUAUUGCAAAUGGGGUAUGUUCAGUCUUUUUUCGUAGCCACUUAGUCACAAACACUGGCCAAAAUUGACAUUUAAAUUAGUUUUUUGCAUUUUCAAAUAUUAACACUAACUUUGGCCAGUGUUUAAAAUAUGUUUUAAAAUGCGGUUUUAAAAUAAUUUAAUAUGAAUAAAAUACACAUAUUUGUAUGCUUUGAUGUCCCACAUAUACAUCAAUGUACCCCACGUAUAGGUUUCAUGCUGUUUUGGAAAGUUACAGGGUCAAAUAUAGGGCUUGCCAAUUUCAGUUUUGAAAUUUGCCAGAUUGGGUUAUUGUUGUCAUUGAGACCAUAUGGAAUGAAAAUUACUCCCUUAAUGGCAUUUCCCUUGCAAAUGUAGACUACCCAGGGUAUUCAAAAUGGGGUAUGUCCACUCUUUUUAGUAGCCACAAACCCUGGUCAAAGUUAGUGUUCAUAUUUGUUUCUUUUUUUUUUUUGCAUUUCUCACUGAAUACAAUGAAUGCAACACUGCCUUCAAAAACACUGUACACAAAUACAGCACUAUAUCCAAAUGACAGGUUAUUCACAAAACUCAGAAUUUUCAUAAAUUAAAUCCAUAAUUAAAAAAAAACUGUAAAAAUAGCUGAUUUGAAAAUAUUCUCAAACUCACUUUUUCUAUUCUGAUUUUAAUGAAG